AGACGAACCGUGCAAACGUUACUCGGAAUCACUGGGCUUAAAGCGCACGUAGGCGGCGACAUAAGUUAGAGGUGAAAUCCCAUCGGCUCAACCGUGGAACUGCCUCUAAUACUGUGUUGCUUGAGGGAGAACGGGGCAUUCGGAACUUCCGGUGGAGCGGUGAAAUGUGUUGAUAUCGGAAGGAACGCCGGUGGCGAAAGCGGAAUGCUGGGUCUCUUCUGACGCUGAGGUGCGAAAGCUAGGGUAGCGAACGGGAUUAGAUACCCCGGUAGUCCUAGCCGUAAACGAUGAGCACUUGGUAGAAAUCGCUCCGAUGGCGACUUCUGCCGAAGCGAAAGUGUUAAGUGCUCCGUCUGGGGAGUAUGGUCGCAAGGCUGAA
Molecule: ribosomal RNA, 379 nt
Filed under: uncultured bacterium
Lineage: Bacteria
Description: bacterial SSU rRNA
Rfam family: Bacterial small subunit ribosomal RNA
Source: RNAcentral